Molecule: long non-coding RNA, 699 nt
Filed under: Homo sapiens (human)
Lineage: Eukaryota; Metazoa; Chordata; Mammalia; Primates; Hominidae
Description: HSALNT0399728
Source: RNAcentral
UCCAAGUGUCCUGCAGAAAAGCUAAUGGGCUGAUGACAGGCCUCUGCAUUAGCAGUGGGGUCUUUAAAGGAUCAGAUGCCUUCUCUUUAGAAUAACGGCACAGCUCAGAAUCCCACUUAGGCAGGUGUCUUCGCUAUGUCUUCCUUCCUCAUGAAGGUGAUUUGGAAAGAGCUCUUGGGAAUCGAGAUCCUCUGCUUUGGGGGGAUGAACUCUCCGACCUCUUAGAAUCACAGAAGCUACACAGGAAAAGGGAAGACUGCGCUCGGCCUGGAUUCUGGCCCCACCUUAGCCCCUGGCAUGUUCCUCUCUGGUUCUCUGUCGUUCUACAAGGCUACAGUGCGUGGGUUACAAACCCGCAGAUUUAAGGGAUUGUGAUUUAUGUUCUGUAGGCCUUAUGGGAUUCUACCGUUUCAGCAAGCUGCAUGCUUACAUCUGCAAGGGAUUUUUUUUAAAAUAAUGAUGCUUAUUAAGGCACUUACACUUGCAUUAUGUUAAUCCCCAUGACACCUCUGAGAAGUAGGGAAGGACUGUUAGGUUUUUGUUUUUUGCAGAUGAAAAAAACAAUGCCAGAAGUUUUGUUAAAAAAAGUUCCCCAAACAAAAGCCCUCCAAACAAACCUGUUCUUGUUGAUUUAAUAAGAAAAUUCUGAGAUACGGAAAUUAAAAUAAAAGUAUAAUUUUGACACCAUCUAGGCACACA